GACGAACGCUGGCGGCGUGCCUAAUACAUGCAAGUUGAGCGAUGAAGAUUGGUGCUUGCCCCAAUUUGAAGAGCAGCGCACGGGUGAGUAACGCGUGGGGAAUCUGCCUUUGAGCGGGGGACAACAUUUGGAAACGAAUGCUAAUACCGCAUAACAACUUUAAACAUAAGUUUUAAGUUUGAAAGAUGCAAUUGCAUCACUCAAAGAUGAUCCCGCGUUGUAUUAGCUAGUUGGUGAGGUAAAGGCUCACCAAGGCGAUGAUACAUAGCCGACCUGAGAGGGUGAUCGGCCACAUUGGGACUGAGACACGGCCCAAACUCCUACGGGAGGCAGCAGUAGGGAAUCUUCGGCAAUGGACGAAAGUCUGACCGAGCAACGCCGCGUGAGUGAAGAAGGUGUUCGGAUCGUAAAACUCUGUUGGUAGAGAAGAACGUUGGUGAGAGUGGAAAGCUCAUCAAGUGACGGUAACUAACCAGAAAGGGACGGCUAACUACGU
Molecule: ribosomal RNA, 496 nt
Filed under: uncultured bacterium
Lineage: Bacteria
Description: partial 16S ribosomal RNA
Rfam family: Bacterial small subunit ribosomal RNA
Source: RNAcentral